UUUUCUAGAUUUAGAGUUGUAGUGGUUGUUCCCGGUGGUGUUGUGGACAGUAGUAGAGAAGGAAGAAAGUUGGUGGUGUUGAGGAAGAAGGCAGCGAAACUUCUCAAGUUAGUGUAUUGUUUGAAGUAAACACGUAAAUCGCUGUUGGAGAUGCGAUUAUUCGUGAUGCAGUUGGAACGCCGGUUACAGGAGGCCGAAAGUCGACUUUCGGCUCACCCCAACCACACUUCGAACUGCGAUUUAGGGGUGCCGCACUUCUAAGUGUGGUUUCACUAGUACAUUAAUUUUAUCUCAUUUUUUUGUUUGUUUAUUGUGAUAUUAUGCUUGCUUAUGAUACGUAUUAUGAAUCAUGUCUCAACCGUAAUUCAAAAUGCGCAUGAUCUCUACCGGUGUUCAAAUUGCGCAGAGUCUCUACCGACGUUCAAAUUGUGCAGGGUCUUAAUCGUGCUUCAGAGUGCGAUUAAGGCCUCGAGUCUUACCGAACACAGCUGCCCUUGCCCGCGAGAGAAGAGAUCACUCAGAUGGUGAGAGAGAUACAGAGAGAUGCAACGAGAAAGGGAAGAAGGAGAGAGCAAGAGAUGGAGUACAUAAUCUAUGGAGCAAGAGAUGGAAUUAAGAGAGCUUCUGCACCUUACUGGAAUUGAAGGAAGAGGAGAACAUUUUGUUGGAGGAAAGGUCUGCAAUGGUCAGAAGGAUAGUGUGGGAAAUUUGGAGGUGCAGGAAGAAUUCGUGGAGGUGCAGGAAGCUUCGC
This 751-nucleotide small RNA is filed under the name Vigna angularis var. angularis. RNAcentral's name for it is "Non-protein coding transcript". Lineage: Eukaryota; Viridiplantae; Streptophyta; Magnoliopsida; Fabales; Fabaceae. The record is from RNAcentral.